RNAcentral lists this ribosomal RNA (706 nucleotides) under uncultured Yersinia sp. Its description in RNAcentral is "partial 16S ribosomal RNA". The record is from RNAcentral. Lineage: Bacteria; Pseudomonadati; Pseudomonadota; Gammaproteobacteria; Enterobacterales; Yersiniaceae.
AAGGAGGUGAUCCAGCCGCAGGUUCCCCUACGGUUACCUUGUUACGACUUCACCCCAGUCAUGAAUCACAAAGUGGUAAGCGCCCUCCCGAAGGUUAAGCUACUUACUUCUUUUGCAACCCACUCCCAUGGUGUGACGGGCGGUGUGUACAAGGCCCGGGAACGUAUUCACCGUAGCAUUCUGAUCUACGAUUACUAGCGAUUCCGACUUCAUGGAGUCGAGUUGCAGACUCCAAUCCGGACUACGACAGACUUUAUGUGGUCCGCUUGCUCUCGCGAGUUCGCUUCACUUUGUAUCUGCCAUUGUAGCACGUGUGUAGCCCUACUCGUAAGGGCCAUGAUGACUUGACAUCAUCCCCACCUUCCUCCGGUUUGUCACCGGCAGUCUCUCUUGAGUUCCCACCAUUACGUGCUGGCAACAAAGGAUAAGGGUUGCGCUCGUUGCGGGACUUAACCCAACAUUUCACAACACGAGCUGACGACAGCCAUGCAGCACCUGUCUCACGGUUCCCGAAGGCACUAAAGCAUCUCUGCUAAAUUCCGUGGAUGUCAAGAGUAGGUAAGGUUCUUCGCGUUGCAUCGAAUUAAACCACAUGCUCCACCGCUUGUGCGGGCCCCCGUCAAUUCAUUUGAGUUUUAACCUUGCGGCCGUACUCCCCAGGCGGUCGACUUAACGCGUUAGCUCCGGAAGCCACGCCUCAAGGGCA